GUUGUUAUUCUGAUGUUGGUUGGUUGUCUAUGAUGAAUGAUUUGCGUCUCUUGGUUUUUUCUUUGUUCAACCUACUCAUCAUAUCCAUUUUUUUCCCUCGCAUCUUUCGCGAUGCAUAUCUUCUCUUCUUCGCAACCACCUCUUAUUCGCCAUUUUACUCCGCGCCUCUUGCGUAAAGAAAAAGGAAACAUGUUUUAAUAGCUAUCCUGAGUUCAACUGCUUCUUGAACUUCACGUCUUCUUGCGGAAGGGAAAAAUAGUCGGCCUAGAAGAAUAAUGAAGACCUUCGGAAGGGUGGGAGGCAUUUUGGCUGGUCCCAUUGUGAUGGCCCACCGCAUUUUUUUCCUGUUCGACGAUGUUCGUCGAAGAGUUGAAUCACGCAACGCAUUUCAUGGUUAUUGCUGGGAUUGCUUCGAAAUUUUGAACUCUGAGAUUAGCAGUGAUUUGAAAUUGAA
Molecule: long non-coding RNA, 454 nt
Organism: Arachis duranensis
Lineage: Eukaryota; Viridiplantae; Streptophyta; Magnoliopsida; Fabales; Fabaceae
Exons: 3
Source: RefSeq, a predicted model, not a curated record